Molecule: ribosomal RNA, 301 nt
Filed under: Aquabacterium sp. MS244c
Lineage: Bacteria; Pseudomonadati; Pseudomonadota; Betaproteobacteria; Burkholderiales; Sphaerotilaceae
Description: bacterial SSU rRNA
Rfam family: Bacterial small subunit ribosomal RNA
Source: RNAcentral
AUCGCAAGACCUCUCGCUAUUGGAGCGGCCGAUGUCAGAUUAGCUAGUUGGUGGGGUAAAGGCCUACCAAGGCAACGAUCUGUAGUUGGUCUGAGAGGACGACCAGCCACACUGGGACUGAGACACGGCCCAGACUCCUACGGGAGGCAGCAGUGGGGAAUUUUGGACAAUGGGCGCAAGCCUGAUCCAGCAAUGCCGCGUGCAGGAAGAAGGCCUUCGGGUUGUAAACUGCUUUUGUCAGGGAAGAAAUCUUCUGGGUUAAUACCUCGGGAGGAUGACGGUACCUGAAGAAUAAGCACCG